RNAcentral lists this ribosomal RNA (536 nucleotides) under uncultured Actinomycetes bacterium. Its description in RNAcentral is "bacterial SSU rRNA". It matches the Rfam family "Bacterial small subunit ribosomal RNA", at positions 10 to 561 of the family's 1533-position model. Lineage: Bacteria; Bacillati; Actinomycetota; Actinomycetes. The record is from RNAcentral.
AGUUUAGUCAUGGCUCAGGACGAACGCUGGCGGCGUGCUUAACACAUGCAAGUCGAACGAACUCGAGACUUCGGUCUCAAUGAGUGAGUGGCGAACGGGUGAGUAACACGUGAGAAACCUGCCCCGGAGACUGGGAUAACUCGAGGAAACUCGGGCUAAUACCGGAUAUCUUCCGACCACCGCAUGGUGGACGGAAGAAAUGGUCCGCCGCUCUGGGAGGGUCUCGCGGCCUAUCAGCUUGUUGGUGAGGUAAUGGCUCACCAAGGCAUCGACGGGUAGCUGGUCCGAGAGGACGAUCAGCCACACUGGGACUGAGACACGGCCCAGACUCCUACGGGAGGCAGCAGUGGGGAAUCUUGCGCAAUGGGCGAAAGCCUGACGCAGCAACGCCGCGUGAGGGAAGACGGCUCUCGGGUUGUAAACCUCUUUCAGCAGGGACGAAAUUGACGGUACCUGCAGAAGAAGCGCCGGCCAACUACGUGCCAGCAGCCGCGGUAACACGUAGGGCGCAAGCGUUGUCCGGAUUUAUUGGGCGU